CGACUAAAGCCAUGCGAGUCGAAUGUAGNNAUCCACAUGGCGUACUGCUNCAGUAACACGUGGACAACCUACCCUCUAGGCCUGGGAUAACCCCGGGAAGCUGGGAAUAAUACCGGAUAUAUCGCGAAUGCUGGAACGCGUCGCGAUAGAAAGCUCCCGGCGCCUAAGGAUGGGUCUGCGGCCUAUCAGGGUAGUAGUGGGUGUAAUGUACCUACUAGCCUACGACGGGUACGGGUUGUGAGAGCAAGAGCCCGGAGAUGGAUUCUGAGACACGAAUCCAGGCCCUACGGGGUGCAGCCAGAGCGCGAAAACUUUACAAUGCCGGCAACGGCGAUANNNUGUGGACCUCGAGUGCCAGGAUACCAAUCCUGGCUGUCGUAAUGCCUAAAAAGCAUUGCAUAGCAAGGGCCCGGGCAAGACCGGUGCCAGCCGCCGCGGUAANACCGGCGGCCGAGUGGUAACCGCUANUNAUUGGGUCUAAAGGGUUGU
RNAcentral lists this ribosomal RNA (489 nucleotides) under uncultured euryarchaeote. RNAcentral's name for it is "bacterial SSU rRNA". It matches the Rfam family "Archaeal small subunit ribosomal RNA", at positions 41 to 521 of the family's 1478-position model. Lineage: Archaea; Methanobacteriati; Methanobacteriota. The record is from RNAcentral.